RNAcentral lists this transfer RNA (72 nucleotides) under Phrynosoma platyrhinos (Desert horned lizard). Its description in RNAcentral is "tRNA-OTHER". Lineage: Eukaryota; Metazoa; Chordata; Lepidosauria; Squamata; Phrynosomatidae. The record is from RNAcentral.
GGAAGUGUGGCAUAGUGGUUUGAGUGUUGGAUUACAACUCUGGAGACCAGGAUUCGAUUCCCCACUCAGCCA